CUCGCGAAAAUAUUACCUUUCGAGAAUUAUCCUUGGAAAGCAUGAACAAAAAAUUAUUUAUAUCGGUCAAUUUUUUAAGACGAAAGGAAAUUCUACGAUUAAUAAUUCCACUUCCCUUGGCUAACAACAUUUGCGGCUUGAGAAUUCUACCAUCGUUCCGUGCUUUGUACCGAUAAAAAGCGAGAUACGCUUCGGUUUAUGAAGGAGAAAGGAAGAUAGAGAGCUAAUGAAAGUUGCGAGCAUCGUGGAAGGAAGAGUUAUGAUUGUGGCGGAGCUCCGAUUUCAUGAAAUUUUGCCGAAGUUUUGACGAUACAGGACACGCAAAAUUGGGCGAAAUUCGAGACCAAUCUGACCGGUUCAUCGAGCUAUUGGAUGCGAAACAGAAA
RNAcentral lists this long non-coding RNA (386 nucleotides) under Polistes fuscatus (common paper wasp). RNAcentral describes it as "uncharacterized LOC122522207". The record is from RNAcentral. Lineage: Eukaryota; Metazoa; Arthropoda; Insecta; Hymenoptera; Vespidae.